ACUCAUACCUUGCAGAGGAAAUACCAUAUCAUAAAAGUGGUUUUGCCAGGGGGAGGCUCAUCCAUUGCACUUUGGGUGUGUUGCUGAUCCCUGUGAUUUCCCCAAAUGUGGGGAACUCAACUGCAUAAUUUGUGGUAAUGGGGGAUUACAUUUGUGAUUUCCCUGG
Small nuclear RNA from Pogona vitticeps (central bearded dragon), 166 nucleotides. Its record names the gene U1. It matches the Rfam family "U1 spliceosomal RNA". Rfam says of the family: U1 is a small nuclear RNA (snRNA) component of the spliceosome (involved in pre-mRNA splicing). Its 5' end forms complementary base pairs with the 5' splice junction, thus defining the 5' donor site of an intron. The record is from Ensembl. Lineage: Eukaryota; Metazoa; Chordata; Lepidosauria; Squamata; Agamidae.